UCGGGAAUUUUGGGCAAUGGGGGAAACCCUGACCCAGCAACGCCGCGUGAAGGAUGAAGUAUUUCGGUAUGUAAACUUCGAAAGAAUAGGAAGAAUAAAUGACGGUACUAUUUUAUAAGGUCCGGCUAACUACGUGCCAGCAGCCGCGGUAAUACGUAGGGACCAAGCGUUGUUCGGAUUUACUGGGCGUAAAGGGCGCGUAGGCGGCAUGACAAGUCACUUGUGAAAUCUCUGGGCUUAACCCAGAACGGCCAAGUGAUACUGUCGCGCUAGAGUGCAGAAGGGGCAAUCGGAAUUCUUGGUGUAGCGGUGAAAUGCGUAGAUAUCAAGAGGAACACCUGAGGUGAAGACGGGUUGCUGGGCUGACACUGACGCUGAGGCGCGAAAGCCAGGGGGAGCAAACGGGAUUAGAUACCCCGGUAGUCCCUGAGCGGGCUGGCAAGGCGCAU
RNAcentral lists this ribosomal RNA (449 nucleotides) under uncultured bacterium. RNAcentral's name for it is "bacterial SSU rRNA". It matches the Rfam family "Bacterial small subunit ribosomal RNA", at positions 355 to 825 of the family's 1533-position model. The record is from RNAcentral.